Molecule: non-coding RNA, 338 nt
Organism: Theobroma cacao (cacao)
Lineage: Eukaryota; Viridiplantae; Streptophyta; Magnoliopsida; Malvales; Malvaceae
Source: RefSeq, a predicted model, not a curated record
CUAAUACUUUCUCUCACUAGCUAGGUGUUUUAGAGAGAGAAAGAAAGACUCUCUAUAAUAGUUUGGGAAUUCUUGAGGAGGAAUCCAAUUACAAAGCUAGCAAGGUUCCAAUGAAGCUCCACUGCCCCAUUUGGACCAUUAGAGGAAGUUGGAAUUGAGUAAGGCUUUAAUAAAUAUCGAUCAAGAGGCAGCCGGUAACUAGGUUGAGGUGUCCUCGUCGAUUCGUAUCCUUGGUAGGUAUUUUGGCAUUUCAUAGCAACACCUUCACUUUGGUCACUCUACUGGAAGCCUAGAGUCAUUUUUGUUUGUAAAUACAUACAUGUGAUGUAAAGUACUAA